Molecule: ribosomal RNA, 952 nt
Filed under: uncultured organism
Description: bacterial SSU rRNA
Rfam family: Bacterial small subunit ribosomal RNA
Source: RNAcentral
CUAGCGGCAGGCUUAACACAUGCAAGUCGAGGGGUACGACUCCGUCUUCGGAUGGAGGUCGACGACCGGCGCACGGGUGAGUAACGCGUAUGCAACCUACCUUUUACAGGAGGAUAGCCCAGAGAAAUUUGGAUUAAUACUCCAUAGUACUAAUGAAUCACCUGGUUUAUUAGUUAAAACUCNCGGUGGUAAAAGAUGGGCAUGCGUGUCAUUAGCUAGUUGGUAAGGUAACGGCUUACCAAGGCGAAGAUGACUAGGGGUUCUGAGAGGAAGAUCCCCCACACUGGUACUGAGACACGGACCAGACUCCUACGGGAGGCAGCAGUGAGGAAUAUUGGUCAAUGGGUGAGAGCCUGAACCAGCCAAUGCCGCUGUGAAGGAAGACUGCCCUAUGGGUUGUAAACUUCUUUUCUGCAGGAAGAAAUCACUCUACGUGUAGGGUGUUGCCGGUACUGCAGGAAUAAGCAUCGGCUAACUCCGUGCCAGCAGCCGCGGUAAUACGGAGGAUGCAAGCGUUAUCCGGAUUUAUUGGGUUUAAAGGGUGCGUAGGCGGGCUUGUAAGUCAGUGGUGAAAUGCUGUGGCUUAACCAUAGAAUUGCCAUUGAAACUGCAAGUCUUGAGUACAGUUGAGGUGGGCGGAAUGAGUAAUGUAGCGGUGAAAUGCAUAGAUAUUACUCAGAACUCCGAUUGCGUAGGCAGCUUGCUAAACUGUAACUGACGCUGAUGCACGAAAGCGUGGGGAGCGAACAGGAUUAGAUACCCUGGUAGUCCACGCUGUAAACGAUGAGCACUGGUUGUUGGCAAUACACCGUCAGCGACUGAGCGAAAGUAUUAAGUGCUCCACCUGGGGAGUACGUCGGCAACGAUGAACUCAAAGGAAUUGACGGGGGCCCGCACAAGCGGAGGACAUGUGGUUUAAUCCGAUGAUACGCGAGGAACCUUACCUGGGCUU